GCCUGGGUGGCUCAGUCAGUUGAGCGUCCGACUUUGGCUCAGGUCAUGAUCUCGUGGUUUGCGGGUUCAAGCCCCGCAUCAGGCU
RNAcentral lists this transfer RNA (85 nucleotides) under Felis catus (domestic cat). It matches the Rfam family "tRNA". Rfam says of the family: Transfer RNA (tRNA) molecules are approximately 80 nucleotides in length. Lineage: Eukaryota; Metazoa; Chordata; Mammalia; Carnivora; Felidae. The record is from Rfam by way of RNAcentral.